GGGAAGAUGGCUCAGUGGUAGAGUGCUUGCCUUAUAUGCAUGAGGUCCUGGGUUCAAUUCCUCAACACC
This 69-nucleotide transfer RNA is filed under the name Dipodomys ordii (Ord's kangaroo rat). It matches the Rfam family "tRNA". Rfam says of the family: Transfer RNA (tRNA) molecules are approximately 80 nucleotides in length. Their secondary structure includes four short double-helical elements and three loops (D, anti-codon, and T loops). The record is from Rfam by way of RNAcentral. Lineage: Eukaryota; Metazoa; Chordata; Mammalia; Rodentia; Heteromyidae.